RNAcentral lists this ribosomal RNA (141 nucleotides) under uncultured bacterium. RNAcentral describes it as "partial 16S ribosomal RNA". It matches the Rfam family "Bacterial small subunit ribosomal RNA", at positions 372 to 527 of the family's 1533-position model. The record is from RNAcentral.
UGGGCGAAAGCCUGAUCCAGCAAUGCCGCGUGAGUGAUGAAGGCCUUAGGGUUGUAAAGCUCUUUUACCCGGGAUGAUAAUGACAGUACCGGGAGAAUAAGCCCCGGCUAACUCCGUGCCAGCAGCCGCGGUAAUAUCACU